UGGGAAUUAGCCAAGUUGGUAAGGCACCGGAUUUUGAUUCCGGGAUGCACUGGUUCGAGUCCAGUAUUCCCAGCCA
RNAcentral lists this transfer RNA (76 nucleotides) under Salmonella phage vB_SnwM_CGG4-1. Its description in RNAcentral is "tRNA-Gln". It matches the Rfam family "tRNA". Rfam says of the family: Transfer RNA (tRNA) molecules are approximately 80 nucleotides in length. RNAcentral also lists the same sequence under 1 other name. The record is from RNAcentral. Lineage: Duplodnaviria; Heunggongvirae; Uroviricota; Caudoviricetes; Pantevenvirales; Straboviridae.